RNAcentral lists this ribosomal RNA (253 nucleotides) under uncultured bacterium. RNAcentral's name for it is "partial 16S ribosomal RNA". It matches the Rfam family "Bacterial small subunit ribosomal RNA", at positions 524 to 776 of the family's 1533-position model. The record is from RNAcentral.
UACGUAGGGUGCAAGCGUUGUCCGGAAUUAUUGGGCGUAAAGAGCUCGUAGGCGGUUUGUCGCGUCUGCUGUGAAAACUCGGGGCUUAACUCCGGGCCUGCAGUGGGUACGGGCAGACUAGAGUGCGGUAUGGGAGAUCGGAAUUCCUGGUGUAGCGGUGAAAUGCGUAGAUAUCUGGAGGAACACCGGUGGCGAAGGCGGCAUCCUGGACCAACACUGACGCUGAGGAGCGAAAGCCAGGGGAGCAAACGGG